Molecule: ribosomal RNA, 253 nt
Filed under: uncultured bacterium
Lineage: Bacteria
Description: partial 16S ribosomal RNA
Rfam family: Bacterial small subunit ribosomal RNA
Source: RNAcentral
UACGUAGGCAGCGAGCGUUGUUCGGAAUUACUGGGCGUAAAGAGUGUGUAGGCGGUGCUCUAAGUUCGGUGUGAAAUCUCCUGGCUCAACUGGGAGGGUGCGCCGGAAACUGGAGUGCUUGAGCGUGGGAGAGGAAAGCGGAAUUCCUGGUGUAGCGGUGAAAUGCGUAGAUAUCGGAAGGAACACCUGUGGCGAAAGCGGCUCACUGGACCAUUACUGACACUGAGGCACGAAAGCUAGGGGAGCAAACAGG